RNAcentral lists this transfer RNA (72 nucleotides) under Candidatus Iainarchaeum sp. RNAcentral's name for it is "tRNA-Arg". It matches the Rfam family "tRNA". From Rfam's summary of the family: Transfer RNA (tRNA) molecules are approximately 80 nucleotides in length. Their secondary structure includes four short double-helical elements and three loops (D, anti-codon, and T loops). Further hydrogen bonds mediate the characteristic L-shaped molecular structure. tRNAs have two regions of fundamental functional importance: the anti-codon, which is responsible for specific mRNA codon recognition, and the 3' end, to which the tRNAs corresponding amino acid is attached (by aminoacyl-tRNA synthetases). tRNAs cope with the degeneracy of the genetic code in two manners: having more than one tRNA (with a specific anti-codon) for a particular amino acid; and 'wobble' base-pairing, i.e. permitting non-standard base-pairing at the 3rd anti-codon position. Lineage: Archaea; Nanobdellati; Candidatus Iainarchaeota; Candidatus Iainarchaeia; Candidatus Iainarchaeales; Candidatus Iainarchaeaceae. The record is from RNAcentral.
GCUCCCAUGGUGUAGUGGAUAGCAUUGAGGCUUGCGGAGCCUUAGACUCGGGUUCAAUCCCCGAUGGGAGCA